GCUCUGCUCUGCCGCCAGCUAACACACUGUCACUGAUUCACUGCCAGAGAUAAACCACACACACGCACACAGACCGAGACAAACAGUGAGAUGUGGCGACAUAGACGUGAGGAUGACAACAACAAAACAACAAAAUGGCUGAUGCUGUGGCCAGGGUGGGGGCUGUUGUUAUUUCCUGUUUUGGAGCAGGGUGGCUCUCUUUUCAGAGUCAAAACACAAGGACAGCGGUGCAGAGCGGGACCGGCCGACUUAUCAGUGCACACAGGAUUAAAUACUCUUUCAGUCUUGCAGCGUUAUCUCUCUUUCAGAUGGCGUCCCAUCACCUCGGGGAAGGCAGAGAUAAGCAGAGUGUAUGGGUUGAGAUAAGAUGGGAGCAGACACCGGGGAGACUGACUGACUGUCUACCUGCCAUUCGACCUCUACAGCUCAUCCAGAAUGCAGCUGCUCGACUGGUCUUCAACCUAAAUUUACCCACAAUCCUCCGCUCCUCCGCGACCUUCACUGGUUACCGGUGUCCACCUCAAUGCAACCAGCUUUCACCGCGUUCCUAUGAGCACAACUGGAAAUGCAUGGACAUACCCAAUUUGAAGGAGUAUCAAUUGUCUGCUUCAAUACCCAAAAGAAACUCAUUUUAGAAAGUUCCGCCACACACAGGCGUGUUGCUCACAGGGUGAGACAAAGUGAUGUGUGUGUGAUAAGAGGCGGCGCCAUGGCAGUGGCAGGACACAACAAUGAACCCUCCAUACGCGGUUCACACACACACAGUGAUAAGCAUCACCUCCAGCCCUCCGCCUGGCUCGGGCCUCCUGCUCUGAACCAGUUAUUAAAGAAGCUGAAGACACACAGGACACGGCUGCAGAUGGAAGAACCAGGAACACGAUGUUGGGCAGACGAACGGGUACAGAUGGAGGAGACGGAGGUCAGAUGGUGUGGACUGGUGAACCAUUAACGACUUGAUCCUACCGGUCAACCCUUUGGGCUUAUUAAUGAAUCAUGAAUGCACAAUUAAAUUAUAUAUUGUUAUAAAAAUUAA
This is a long non-coding RNA of Cyclopterus lumpus (lumpfish), 1033 nucleotides long. RefSeq lists it as uncharacterized. Lineage: Eukaryota; Metazoa; Chordata; Actinopteri; Perciformes; Cyclopteridae. The record is from RefSeq and is a predicted model, not a curated record. The transcript has 3 exons.